This 380-nucleotide ribosomal RNA is filed under the name uncultured bacterium. RNAcentral describes it as "bacterial SSU rRNA". It matches the Rfam family "Bacterial small subunit ribosomal RNA", at positions 28 to 405 of the family's 1533-position model. The record is from RNAcentral.
GAUAAACGCUGGCGGCGUGCCUAAUGCAUGCAAGUCGAACGGUCUAGUUUCUUCGGAAGCUAGGUAGUGGCAAACGGGUGAGUAACACGUGGGGAUCUGCCCAGUAGUGGGGAACAACUCCGAGAAAUCGGAGCUAAUACCGCAUACGGUAGGUGUUGAAGGACACCAUACUAAAGCCGACGUAAGAAGGCGCUAUUGGAGGAACCUGCGGCUGAUUAGCUAGUUGGUGGGGUAAAGGCCUACCAAGGCGAUGAUCAGUAGCUGGUCUGAGAGGAUGGACAGCCACACUGGGACUGAGAUACGGCCCAGACUCCUACGGGAGGCAGCAGCAAGGAAUUUUCGUCAAUGGGGGAAACCCUGAAUGAGCAACGCCGCGUGGG